AUGUCAAAAACAAGUGUGAGGGGAUUAGACGAUCUAUCUUCCUACAUUUGUAUCAGAGCUAAGUUAUCUUCAAAUAACAACAAUAAAUAUCCCAAUGCUGGAAAGCGAGAAAUCUUGAAAUUCAUUAGGUUUCCUUUAAGUGGAAAGGAUCCAAAUGAGCAUCAAAUGCGUACAAGUUUUGCUGCAUUAUUUCGGAAGAACUUACCAGGAGAAUGGUUUGGUCGGGAUUUCAUGUUAUUUACGGAGAUGAUGGGAGGUGUGGUGUACAGCCUACAGGUCGUAAUAGAUCACCCAGUAUUAAAGUGUGGUGCUGGUAUUGCCAAACUGAUCAGAGCGUGCUUUCGUGAAGAUUUGCGUCCUAGGCAGAUAGGAAUCUUAGAGAGGGUCGUUGACAUUGCCAAAUACGGUGGUCAGUCUUGGCACGCCCGUCUGAUACAUUAUCCAAUUUUGUUGGCCAUGAGUCGCUAUCGCACUGAAUCAUCGGAUAGCUAUGAUCUUCUAUGGUUCGCAAGAAAAGCAACUGCUCACUAUAAGGAAAACCUCAAUGCUGAAUUGAGAAGCGGUACAAUACAGAGAUGUCCUUUCAACAACAUACACCCAAGUUUCAUUGUUAUGACAUUGUAUCCCGGGCUGGUCUCCGAUUUGUAUGAGCUGUAUUUGAAUCACGAAUAUCUCAACGUGAUAGUGUAA
Molecule: ribosomal RNA, 690 nt
Filed under: Triticum aestivum (bread wheat)
Lineage: Eukaryota; Viridiplantae; Streptophyta; Magnoliopsida; Poales; Poaceae
Description: partial small subunit ribosomal RNA
Source: RNAcentral